Molecule: ribosomal RNA, 268 nt
Filed under: uncultured bacterium
Lineage: Bacteria
Description: partial 16S ribosomal RNA
Rfam family: Bacterial small subunit ribosomal RNA
Source: RNAcentral
CGGACCGGCGCACGGGUGAGUAACACGUAUGCAACCUGCCCUCCGCAGGGGGAUAACCCGGAGAAAUCCGGACUAAUACCGCGUGGUACAUCUGUGGGGCAUCCCACGGGUGUUAAAAGGAAGCGAUUCCGGCGGAGGAUGGGCAUGCGGCGCAUUAGCUAGUUGGCGGGGUAACGGCCCACCAAGGCGACGAUGCGUAGGGGUUCUGAGAGGAAGGUCCCUCACACUGGUACUGAGACACGGACCAGACUCCUACGGGAGGCAGCAG